UUAUCUUUGGCACUGGUUGGCCAUAAGACACUUUCUCCCCUUUAUGGAGUACAGGCGAAGAAGAAGAGACAGAUGCCUGAUUACCAAAUGAAAGAGUCUGAUGUGAUUUUUUUUUGAUGUACAUUUCACCCUUCAUCACAGGCAGUGAAACACUAGCCUUGAAGGCUGGAACAUCUAACAAGGUAAGAUGAUUCACUGCCAGCAUCUUUUCUCUCUUGCUCACAGUACGAGGCUGUGUUUUUAACACUAGUGCGGUCUUCCAUCAGGCCGUCACCACCGUUGAGUAAUUCGUAGCUGGAAGCACGAGUCUUUGCACAGAGAAUUUUAUUUGCUUAUACUAUCUCUUUUAAGUCAGUGUUUGUCUGUGUAAGACAAUUGUGUGGCUUGAAGAGAUCAAUAGAGGUCAUGAAGACAAGAGCGCUCCUCUGAUCCCUCUUUUCUUUAGCAACCUGCUCCCAUUAAUCACGACCACAUUGACCCAGAUGAUGCUCUGAACUUCUAGAGCAUCAUGUCAUCGUGCCGUGACACUGAUGCAGGCUGUUGGGAGAUGUAAUUGAAACAAAUUGAGUUGCAGUAACAUAUGUUUCCUAGUUUUAGGGCCAAAGCAAACAGAGAAAUUGAACAAUCACCCUGCCUGCAUUACAGACUUGGACUGUGUCUUCAUCGAUUGGGUUUUGGUCUAAAUUAAGUGGUCAAUAUACUUUUAUUUGACAAGGAAAUUGCAUAAUGUAACAAUCACAGUGGAUUGUUUCAAGGAGCUAUCUCACCAAUACCACAUCUUCAGGUGUUUCUUUUUUCAAAAGAAAGGUUUAGUAUUUUGGGAAAUACGAUUCUGUGAGCAUUACCAUCUCAUCUAAGGCAGGAAGGCAAAUAAUACAAAAUGUCAGACAUUAGAAUUUAAAAAUAAAGCCUUACAAGUCCCGCAUUUAAAAAAGGCAGUUCAGUGAAGUAACAGAAGGAGAGCGGGCCAAUUAGCAGGAAAAUAAACAUGUCAAUCAAAAAAGUAAAAGCACAUUCAAAAUGCAUAUAACUGUUAUUGACUGUUCAUGCAUAAAUUGGAUUUAGAUUUUUUUUUAGCCAUUUUUAGUUCAGUUUUAGCUAUGCUUCUUAUUUUGCAAGCAUAUCUGCAGUUGACUAAUAAAUAUGAAUAGCAAAAAGUAAAUGUAGAAGGUAUUGCCUUUCCUUAUGAAAUGGAGUGGAAUAAUAACCCCUCAGUAGAAGUUAAAGACUAUAAAAAUGGACUUCCACGCAAAAGAGCAUGCCCACAGCCCUAGAAAUCUCAUCUCUGUUUCAUUGCGUCGUAAUUACUCUUUCAUCGAUUGUCAUUGGUGCAGCUGUUAACUGACAUCACAAAUUAUAGUGGUGCUUUGUGGUCUGGUGGAAACAUAUUUAUUUCAGCUUCUGAUCGGCACAAAUCAAAAGGAAACAUUUUGCUGUCGGGUAAAAUACUUUGAUCACCCUAAAUAUGGUGCUCUUUCCCUCUGGUCUUUCAAAUUUAAAGACUCAAUUCUUGUAAAAAUAAAAAAAAGCCCUAUGGCAUAGUAAAAUUAGAUCAAUAAAUGUCAACAGUAAACAACAAACGGCUUGUGCUAAUUGCUGAAAAAAACCUGAUUUCUUGGGUUUUGGUAGGACACUGGAGUGGAUUGUUUGUUUGUAGCGGUUGGUCUUUUAUGCUUCCUAACAAGCUUGUGAAAACAGUCGAUGCUGCUGUAGUCACCACACUGAAGCCACAGCAUGUUAUAUUCUUAGUUCGAACAGAUAAAAUAUUGAUAAUACAAUCUGGAACAUGAAUAAAAGGUAGGAGGCACAGCUUGGCUCCAAAGUACAAUCAGCAAUCUUGUUUUGAAUACAAAAACCUUUUUCAAAACUGUUCUCAAGCACUUUUCAUUUUGUUAAAGUUUUGUUGACGCAGACCGUUUCAGGCUCUUUAUUUGAUAGUACUCUGGAAGUGUCUCACAAAUGUCUCACAGAAACAGAUCAUCCUUCAGUUUUUUAUGUUCUUUUAAUUCAGCCACACUCUUUAAGUAAUACAUCUCAUUGGCCACUUUGUUGGCUUCAAGUGCUCAUCAGCUUUUUAUUGCAAAUAUCUAAUCAGCCAGUCACAUGGUCGAAACUCAGUGCAUUAAGUCAUGUAGACAUGGUCCAAAAGUUUAAAUUAAGGUUCAGAAUAUGGUUGAAAGGUGAUAUAAGAGAGUUUGAACGUCGCACGGUUGUUGGCGUCAGACAGGCUUGUCUGAGUAUCUCAGAAACUGCUACUACUGGGAUUUCCCUACACAGUCAUCUGUAGGGUUUACAGAAAAUGGUUUAAAAAAACGAGAAAAUAUCCAGUGAGCAGCGUUCCUAUGGGUGAAAAUGCCUUGUUGAUCAGUCUGCUUCGUCCUGUUGGGAAAGCAACAGAAACUAAAAUAACUACUCCUUAUGACCAAGGUAUGCAGAAGAGCAUCUCUGGUGCAUCUCAGAGAUGCAGAAGAGCAGCAGAAGAGCAUCAUGUUAAACACCGAAGCAGGUGGGGUACAGCAGCAGAAGGCCACACUGGGUGCAACAGUUUGCACGGGCUCACCAAAGUGGGGCAACAGAAGAUUGGACAAAUGUUGCCUGGUCCUACGAGUCUCAAAAUCUGCUGUUAUCUCUGGGUGGAGAAGAAAAGAUAUGCGAUGCUUCAACAUUUUGAAAGAAUAAACAGCCUCAUGUAUGGGGUCUAUAUACAGGACUUCCUUGGAGAGCCAGAUUUUUUUGGCAGAGACGAGGAACUAGACCAGCGCUGAAGAGCCAGACCGCAUCACUUUAAACCCGAAGGGGCUCCGUCUGUUGAUGACUGGCUCGACCUUCUUACAAGCCAAAGUUGAUGAACUCUGUGUGGUGUAAAUAUAAACUCUUGUUCACUGGUCCUCACUCACUGUAAGUAGAAAGUCGCUCAUAUUCCCAUAAAUGGUCAUAUUAUCACUGUCAGGUUUAAAAAAAUUGGCUCAAUGAAGAAAUGUUUUGGAAAGAAUUUAAUUUUUAAGCAAAAGUUAAGCAACUUCAAUUAGUAGCAAAAUGAGGCAUUUAACAUGAUUUAUUAUCUUCAGGAGAUUUCUUCACUUUCCAAGUGAAGAUUAAUAUGCACAUGCUUUAUUUUGAAAGGACUGGAGCUGAAGAAGACACAUUGCCUCAACCCGCACAUGUUAGACACAACAGAGGCCGAGGAUGAAGGAAUAAUUACUAACAAGGUCAAGCAUGUUUUAGAACACUGACGAACCAAAGCACCACAUAGCAACCUGCCCGUGGAAACAAAACAGGGUAUUUACCGCCUUAAAACGAAAAGUAUAGCUGUAAACAUUUUUAUCAUUGUUAUUAAUAAAUUCAAAUGAAUGAAUGUUUAAAAAUAUUUUAAGAUCUGUAGCAAUAAUUAAUUUUCCAAUAUGUGCAUAAAAAAGAUUUACAAAAAAGUUGAAAAUGCUGGUAUAAACACAAAUUCAGUGCUAACUGGAAGUUGUUCCCAUAUUAUAAUACUGUGUAUUGUUCUAUGUUGUAAACAAUGCACAGUGAUUUUGUGAGUUUAUGUUCUAUGGCUACAGAAGAGGCACAUUUAGAGACGCUCACAAUACCACAUUAGUCCACAUUUCAAACAAAGAUGGGAAGCUGAGCUCUGGCUAGCAUUACAAAAUUCAAUUAAUUUCAAUUUCAUUCAGUUUUGUUUAAAUAGCACCAAUUGCCAGUCAGUUGCCUCAUAGCCCUUGAUUUUGUAAGCCUUCUAGUAAAGACCUUCCAAUAUUAGAAAAACCCUAAAAAUGAGUCGACUCCCUAUGAGCAAACACUUGGUGACAGUGGGAAAGAAAAACUUCUUUUUAACAGGAAGAAACCUCUUAGUUAAGAGUGUCCUUAUGAUUUCCAUAUGUUCUUUGAAUGAUGUUUUUUGAUUGUGUUUUUGAGUUUGUAGCUUUUUGUAGACUGUAUUUUUGGGUCCUUGUGUUUUAUUAAUCCUGCCCUCCUGUCUUCUCUGUGUCAAGAUUGCAGUUCUGUUCCUGUGUUCUAUAACUUCCUGUUUUAUUUUGUUAGUCUUUCAUUUUGUGUGCUUUGUAUUUAGUUCUUCUUCCCCUGCCUCGUCCUCAAUAAUUAUCCCCAGCUGUGUUUCCACCUGUUACCCAUCCUCUCGUUGUCUUGUAUUUGUAUAAAAUGUGUCAGUCUCCCCAUGUCCUUCAUGUCCUCUGCAUUAUUUGCGCAGGCUCUGCUGACGUCUUUGUUUUGUAUUUUUUGUUGACGAGAACUGAAAAUAAACUGCCCUUUAGUUUA
Long non-coding RNA from Oreochromis niloticus (Nile tilapia), 4272 nucleotides. RefSeq lists it as uncharacterized. NCBI's taxonomy places the organism in Eukaryota, Metazoa, Chordata, Actinopteri, Cichliformes, Cichlidae. The transcript has 3 exons. The record is from RefSeq and is a predicted model, not a curated record.